UCCUUAUACGUCAUUGACCCACCCACGUUUGGUUUUUACAAAGUGUUCUUCAGCAUGCGCUGAGGCAGGGACUGCAAGACUCCAUGUUAUAGCCACUGUUGGAGUCCAGGCCAGAUGUAGUGGUUUUUUCACAUCUAUCAAUGGCUGAAUGCAGUGUUCAGAUGGUUCUAGACAACAUCAUCUGGCUAGUAGAAAGGGAAAAGGAGGAUGACGAUGAAUGCCCUGUUGCCAACCAAUGCAGAAUUGCUAGCUACCUAUGGCAGUUUGUGGAGACAGUGUAAUUAUUGAUCUCCAUUCAUGUGACUGAAGACAAACUGAAGCAGUUGGAGAAAUUCUGGGUGGGCUGGGAGCUGCCCAUGUAGGACAUGCAAGUGGAAAUUGUGCAGGCAGACUAUACAAGAUCAUCCACCUGCUUCCACAUCCUGCGCUUGCCUGGUCGCUACACCACUUAUGAACAGUUCCAUGAUCACCUGGAAGGUUGAAUUGCAACUAAUGAUUGUGGGUUUGGACUAAUAUGAAGUCUAUGAGUUCUUCUGCAUACCGUUGUUAGGGCACAUUGCACAACAUUACCCAUGCAUGUUUAGAAAAUGUGUAGGUUGUGAAAACAGUCAGUAGAUGGCAGCCUUUUUUGUGUUCUAUGAGAAACAAGUUCUAAAUUCAUGAGGUCUCUUUUAAUUUUCUGGUGUCCUUUAAAUUGAAGUCCCAUUCUUAGCUGAAAGACAGUUAAUGGAGUCACUGUCACUGAUGUACUAGACUAUAUUUGGGUGAAAGUUUCAA
Molecule: long non-coding RNA, 777 nt
Organism: Micropterus dolomieu (smallmouth bass)
Lineage: Eukaryota; Metazoa; Chordata; Actinopteri; Centrarchiformes; Centrarchidae
Exons: 4
Source: RefSeq, a predicted model, not a curated record